This 69-nucleotide transfer RNA is filed under the name Bathyraja maccaini (McCain's skate). RNAcentral describes it as "tRNA-Asp". It matches the Rfam family "tRNA". From Rfam's summary of the family: Transfer RNA (tRNA) molecules are approximately 80 nucleotides in length. Lineage: Eukaryota; Metazoa; Chordata; Chondrichthyes; Rajiformes; Arhynchobatidae. The record is from RNAcentral.
AAGAUUCUAGUAAAACAAUUACAUUACCUUGUCGAGGUAAAAUUGUGGGUUAAAUUCCCACGAAUCUUA